ACCAACAGUGAUACGGCUCAGCUCAGAGUCAUCGGCUCUGCCUUCAUGGUACCCAGGGUGCAGACACUAUAACCUUAACUGUGACGGACUCUACAAAUGGCCUCAGGCAGCGAGGGGCACUGCUCACAAUGCCUAUGAUAGUGACAGAUUCUGGACAUCCUCAAAGACUCUGGCAUCAACACUCAUGGGCUCAACAAACAGGAACCAGGAGGAAUGGGCCCUGUGUACACCAUGCCACCAACAGAGACAGUGACAGGGACUGCAGACAUUGACUCAAACAGUGCUAGCCUCUCCCAACAACACUGAGCCCUGCAAACAAAACCAACUCCACAAAUGACAAACAGUGCCACGCUCUGCAAAUGGUGGCACCAGCAGUGACAAGCUUUGCAAACAGCUCCAAGCUCUGUAAAUAAUGAUGCACAGUGCCAAGCUCUGCAAACA
Molecule: long non-coding RNA, 441 nt
Filed under: Lynx pardinus (Iberian lynx)
Lineage: Eukaryota; Metazoa; Chordata; Mammalia; Carnivora; Felidae
Source: RNAcentral